Molecule: non-coding RNA, 932 nt
Organism: Meleagris gallopavo (turkey)
Lineage: Eukaryota; Metazoa; Chordata; Aves; Galliformes; Phasianidae
Source: RefSeq, a predicted model, not a curated record
AGGGCUAGCCUCCAAAUGGUGAAUGCCUCCUGGAUGAGGACUGCUUCCUGAGAAGGAAUGUUCCACAGCUAUGAGAUGCUCAUCAGCUGGCAUCCUGUGGUGAGCAGAAGAGUUUCAUUGUCAUCUUUACAUGAAUGUAUUGUGAAAGGGACUACGUAGACAACUCUAUAAAGAAAAGGAGAAGAAAAGAAAGAGGAGAAAGUGCUGAGAUAGACAGCAAAUGAACUCCAGAGAAGAAGAUUUCAGGUGCUGUCACUGAUUACUGUUUAUUACGGGGAGCAAGAGAUAAGAGACCUAAGUGCAAUUUCAAGUGUAGAGAUGAGGUCAGCAAGUCUGCAACAAAUAUGAUUACUUGGAUGGAGGUGACAUGAUUUACUUAAAUCAAGCAAUUUGCCCAUUAAAGCAUUGAAGCCUCAACUCAUAAAAAGACUGCUUAGCAGAUGAACUAUAAUGUCUUCUAGCAUUUGUUAUGUUAGGUGAUUUGAAUGACAACAAUUACAUGUAAAAUGAAUGUAUUUCUAUGCUGACUGGGAAAAAUCCUGGUUUUGCAUCAGGAGGUGGCUAGUUUUCAUGAAUAGAAUGGGCUCCUUGAUAAAUGCUUCUGUAUAUAUAUUGUACAAUUUACUAUAUAUAGACACGUUUAAGUUUAUAUUGCCAGAACAACUAAUGCAGGGAUGAAUGAUUAGGGUGGUUACUUACCUACAGUCCUCUCCUUCCCUCUUUCAAAUUCAGAUCUUUUCUCCUUUCCUUCUCCCCCAUAGGAGAAGGUUAGGUACUAAAAACCCCAAUACAGUGUGUGGGUUCCCUCUGCCCUCAAUUAGCAAGGGUUAUUAAACUGGUGAAAUCUUGAACUACUGUGUUAGGUUCCUUCCAGCAUUAUGAGCUGAGCCAGAGUCUACACAAUAAAACCUGAUUAAUUAGCAAAGAAUGAA